AAAACAAAAAACAAAACAGAAUCAUAGGACCAAAGAUCUAGAACUGGAAAGGACCCCAGAGGCCAUUUAUUUCAAAUGAAUAAAGAAACUGAGGUUGUGGGAAGUUUUUCUACUUGCCCAAGAUCAUUCAGAUGAACAGUUGAGACGGCUCUCAAGAAAGAAUGCUGAAAGUCAUCCUACACCUGAAAUUAUGAAUUCCUCUGUUCCUGACACUCACAGACUUCUCCCCAGCAACUAAUUGUCAUGUCACAAACGGAUAAGGAAUAAGACUUGAGGCAGAAACAGCAGGAGCAGAUGAACUGUGAAACCACUGAGAUCCAGUUUCCAUGCAAAUAGCCUAAGUCACAAAAAUAAAAUGAAGAAAAUAUCUUAAAUGAAAAUGAAAUCAUCCAGGAAUAAUGUUUUUUUUCCUUCAGAUUCAGCUAUUUUUUUACAUAGUGAUGUUUAAAAAGUAUUCAAAUAGCCACAAUUAUAAUAGUAGCUAAGGAGAGCUUAAACUAGAAUAAUAGAAUCCUAAAGCUAAAAGGAACUUUGGGAGGUCACCUUGCCCAGUCCCUAGUUUUCAGACAGAACUGAGCAGUGACCAUGCUAUUUUGAAGGACCUCCAGGGAAGGUGAUUGUAUAACCCCUCUCAAUCACAAACCUCCCAUUUCACAGUCCCCACCAUCAGCAAGUCCCUUUAUCUAUCAGUCUUAUAUUCCUCUAGGUGAAUUUUAAGUCCAUCGUUUUUUAUUCAGUUCUCAGUGGACACCCAGCUGUUCCUUUCUGAAUACUGUGUCUCCAAAAGAUGGUAAUUUGUCUAUCUGUGAUAUGCAGAGGUCAGAUUGCUCCUCUGUCAAUAGUUGUUCCUGCAGUGACUUUGGGGAAGGUGAUAAAGGAGCCAAGUCGGGGAAGAUGAGGCCAUUUCUCCUGGAGUCAAAUGAAAAUGAGGACAAUCCAUGGCAGAUACCUCCAGAAAUUGAUACAGAGAAUACUGUCACAUCCAGUAUGAAGGCAUCUCUGCAAAUAUGGUACCCCAUUUCAAUCAUCAAUGGCCAUCAUUCAAUUUAAUCCUCAAAUAAUUAAAUUAUUUCCAAUUAUCA
RNAcentral lists this long non-coding RNA (1082 nucleotides) under Monodelphis domestica (gray short-tailed opossum). RNAcentral describes it as "lncRNA (ENSMODG00000035722.2)". Lineage: Eukaryota; Metazoa; Chordata; Mammalia; Didelphimorphia; Didelphidae. The record is from RNAcentral.